Molecule: long non-coding RNA, 1853 nt
Organism: Physeter macrocephalus (sperm whale)
Lineage: Eukaryota; Metazoa; Chordata; Mammalia; Artiodactyla; Physeteridae
Exons: 4
Source: RefSeq, a predicted model, not a curated record
UUUGCCCUCCGCACCCUGUUACUGCGCUCUCCUCCGUGGCUCUGAAACUUCCCCCUCUGCCACCCGCAGUCUCCGCCCGUGAAGGGGCUUCUAGUGUGUGGAAACGUUUCCUCCUUCACAGCUCCCUCCCACUGGUGCAGAGUAAAUAAGAGAAGUAAAGACAGACAUUAAAGACACAUGAGGAACAAUCAGCUGAAUCCAGAGUGUGGGAAAUUCUACAGAACAAAGGACUCAAUUUCUUCAAACAACAAAUGAGACUGCAAGGAAAAUGGAGCUGAAGUCAAAACCAUCAUGAUGAUUUUUCAUUUUACUGUUCACCACUAACCUCUCAGCCAAAAGAGCCUUCCUGAGAAAGACUGGGACGAAGAAGAGAGAGGAAAAGAUCAAUUGUCAUAUCACAGCACUGAAAGGCUAUGGAAAGCCUGUGACUUAAGUGGACUUGCAGUGAGCCCCACCUAUCUUUAAAACAUAGAAAAUUAACUUUUUCAAGAGGCUAAAAGAAAAUGUCAAAUAAAAAAUCCCAAGAGGAGGAGCUUCAAUAUGGCAGAAGAGUAAGACAUGGAGAUCACCUUCCUCCCCACAAAUACAUCAGAAAUACAUCUACAUAUGGAACAACUCAUACAGAACACCUACUGAAUGCUAGCAGAAGACAUCAGAUCUCCCAAAAGGUGAGAAAUGCCCCAUGUACCAGGGUAGGGCAGAAGAAAAUAGAAAAAAACAGAGACAAAAGAAUAGGGAUGGGACCUGAACCAAUGGGAGGGAGCUGUGAAGAAGGAAAGGUUUCCACACACUAGGAAGCCCCUUUGUGGGCAGAGACUGCAGGUGGUGGAGCGGGGAAGCUUCGGAGCCACGGAGGAGAGCGCAGCAACAUGGGUGAGGAGGGCAAAGCAGAGAGAUUCCUGCACAGCAGAUCAGUGCCAACCAGCAUUCAUCAACCCGAGAGGCUUGUCUGCUCACCCACCAGGACAGGUGUGGGCUGGGAGCUGAGGCUUGGGCUUCGGAGGUCAGAUCCCAGAGAGAGAACCAGGGUUGGCUGCAUGAACACAGCCUGAAGGGGGCUAGUGCACCACAGCUAGCUGAGAGGGAGUCCAGGAAAAAGUCUGGACCUGCCGAAGAGGCAAGAUAAUUUUUCUUGCCUCUUUGUUUCCUUGUGCGCAAGGAGAGGGGAUUAACAGCGCUGCUUAAAGGAUCUCCAGAGAUGGGAGAAAUCCCCGGCUAUCAGCGGGGACCACAGAGACAAGCAUGGGAUGAUAAGGCUGCUGCUGCAGCCUCCAAGAAGCCUGUGGGCAAGCACAGAUCACUAUCCACACAGCCCCUCCUGGGAGGCUGUGCAGUCCGCCCCUGCCAGGGUCCUGUGAUCCAGGGACAAUUUCCCCGAGAGAACACAUGGUGUGGGUCAGGCUGUUGCAACUUCAUGCUGGCCUCUGCCACUGCAGGUUCACCCCGAACUCCAUACCCCUCCCUCCCCCAAGGCUGAGGGAGCCAGAGCCCCCUAAUCAGCUGCUCCUUUAACCCCGUCCUGUCUCAGCAGAGAACAUACACCUUCAGGCGACCUAUACACAGAGGCGGGGCCAAAUCCCAAGCUGAAACACAGGAGCUGUGCGAAUAAAGAAGAGAAAGGGAAAUCUCUCCCAGCAGCCUCAGGAGCAGAGGAUUAAACCACAAUCAACUUAAUGUACCCUGCAUCUGUGGAAUACCUGAAUAGAUAACGAAUCAUCCCAAAUUGAGGAGGUGGAUUUGGGAGCAACAAUAUAUAUAUAUAUUUAUUUCCCUUUUUCUUUUUUUGUGUGAGUGUGGAUGUAUAUGCUUCUGAGUGUGCUCUGGUCUGUAUAGCUUUGUUUUUACCAUUUAUC